RNAcentral lists this ribosomal RNA (435 nucleotides) under uncultured bacterium. Its description in RNAcentral is "bacterial SSU rRNA". It matches the Rfam family "Bacterial small subunit ribosomal RNA", at positions 335 to 784 of the family's 1533-position model. The record is from RNAcentral.
ACUCCUACGGGAGGCAGCAGUGGGAAUAUUGCACAAUGGGCGCAAGCCUGAUGCAGCAACGCCGCGUGAGGGACGACGGCCUUCGGGUUGUAAACCUCUUUUAGCAAGGAAGAAGCGAAAGUGACGGUACUUGCAGAAAAGCGCCGGCUAACUACGUGCCAGCAGCCGCGGUAAUACGUAGGGCGCAAGCGUUAUCCGGAAUUAUUGGGCGUAAAGAGCUCGUAGGCGGUCUGUCGCGUCUGCUGUGAAAACCCGAGGCUCAACCUCGGGCCUGCAGUGGGUACGGGCAGACUAGAGUGCGGUAGGGGAGAUUGGAAUUCCUGGUGUAGCGGUGGAAUGCGCAGAUAUCAGGAGGAACACCGAUGGCGAAGGCAGAUCUCUGGGCCGUAACUGACGCUGAGGAGCGAAAGGGUGGGGAGCAAACAGGAUUAGAUA